AGCAAACAGGAUUAGAUACCCUGGUAGUCCACGCUGUAAACGAUGAGUACUAGGUGUCGGGGGUUACCCCCUUCGGUGCCGCAGCUAACGCAUUAAGUACUCCGCCUGGGAAGUACGCUCGCAAGAGUGAAACUCAAAGGAAUUGACGGGGACCCGCCCAAGUAGCGGAGCAUGUGGUUUAAUUCGAAGCAACGCGAAGAACCUUACCUAAGCUUGACAUCCCAAUGACAUCUCCUUAAUCGGAGAGUUCCCUUCGGGGACAUUGGUGACAGGUGGUGCAUGGUUGUCGUCAGCUCGUGUCGUGAGAUGUUGGGUUAAGUCCCGCAACGAGCGCAACCCUUGUCUUUAGUUGCCAUCAUUAAGUUGGGCACUCUAGAGAGACUGCCAGGGAUAA
RNAcentral lists this ribosomal RNA (394 nucleotides) under Clostridioides difficile. RNAcentral's name for it is "bacterial SSU rRNA". It matches the Rfam family "Bacterial small subunit ribosomal RNA", at positions 767 to 1161 of the family's 1533-position model. Lineage: Bacteria; Bacillati; Bacillota; Clostridia; Peptostreptococcales; Peptostreptococcaceae. The record is from RNAcentral.